GUGAAAAUGAGCCACACCGAGACAAACCGUUUAAAUGAACAGAGAAAACCUCCCCCUAAAAAUCAACAGUGCUGAAGGAAACAAACUGAAAUACCCAGAAGCCUUGGAAAUACUCAAAACUUGAUACAGAACAGGCAUCUUUUUGUUCACUCUACUUUUCAGGAGACCAAAAAAAUCAUUGCUUGCAGAAAGGAUUUCUCCAACACCUUUGAACUUUUGCCAUCGACAUGCAUCACGUCAGGAGAGUUGCAAAGCCUUGCUUUGACUGCCUGGCUGAUCACGCUGCCUUUCGUUGGUAUCAUCCCCUCAAGAACAUCUCAAAAGCUGAUGCUGAAAGUUAAAUGCUGGGAACAAAGUUGCUUUAUUUGUCUUCUUACUUGUCUUCACUUUGCAAGAAAAGGUUCAAGAGCCUUUUGGUGAUUGGAGGCUGUGGAUGGUUGUAUGCAAGGUGGAGUGAAUGGAUGGACG
RNAcentral lists this long non-coding RNA (468 nucleotides) under Gallus gallus (chicken). RNAcentral describes it as "long non-coding RNA NONGGAT007985". Lineage: Eukaryota; Metazoa; Chordata; Aves; Galliformes; Phasianidae. The record is from RNAcentral.